GGGGGGAGGUCGGAUCCUGGGCUGUGUCCCUGGCGCCCUGUGCUCCGGGGCCUGCGCUGUUGGAUUGGUGUUCGCAGCCCCCUCCGUGGAGCCCCCC
This 97-nucleotide microRNA precursor is filed under the name Canis lupus familiaris (dog). Its description in RNAcentral is "mir-8799 microRNA precursor family". It matches the Rfam family "mir-8799 microRNA precursor family". The record is from Rfam by way of RNAcentral. Lineage: Eukaryota; Metazoa; Chordata; Mammalia; Carnivora; Canidae.